AAGUGUUGCAGCUCUUUUAGAAUUUGUCUAGCUCGUUUUAUAGGUUUUACCAGAAACCUCU
Molecule: small nuclear RNA, 61 nt
Organism: Cercocebus atys (sooty mangabey)
Lineage: Eukaryota; Metazoa; Chordata; Mammalia; Primates; Cercopithecidae
Gene: U7
Rfam family: U7 small nuclear RNA
About the family: Animal histone pre-mRNAs are spliced by a different mechanism than nuclear pre-mRNAs and self-splicing introns. This processing involves the U7 snRNP, which contains only one RNA species: U7.
Source: Ensembl